GAGUUUGAUUCUGGCUCAGGAUGAACGCUGGCGGCGUGCUUAACACAUGCAAGUCGAACGGGCGAAUUAUAUCGGAAGUCUUCGGGCCGAAGAGAUAAUAAGCUAGUGGCGGACGGGUGCGUAACGUGUGGGUAAUCUGCCUUUGUCAUAGGAAUAACUGCUUGAAAAAGUAGCUAAUACCAAAUAACAUAUCGUAUAGGCAUCUAUAAGAUAUCAAAGAGAAAUCGGACAAAGAUGAGCCCGCAUCUGAUUAGCUGGUUGGUAGGGUAAAAGCCUACCAAGGCGACGAUCAGUAGCCGGCCUGAGAGGGUGAACGGCCACAUUGGAACUGAGACACGGUCCAAACUCCUACGGGAGGCAGCAGUGGGGAAUAUUGCACAAUGGGGGGAACCCUGAUGCAGCAACGCCGCGUGAGUGAAGAAGGCUUUCGAGUCGUAAAACUCUGUUGUAAGGGAAGAUAAUGACG
Molecule: ribosomal RNA, 466 nt
Filed under: Filifactor villosus
Lineage: Bacteria; Bacillati; Bacillota; Clostridia; Peptostreptococcales; Filifactoraceae
Description: bacterial SSU rRNA
Rfam family: Bacterial small subunit ribosomal RNA
Source: RNAcentral